AGUGAACGCUGGCGGUAGGCCUAACACAUGCAAGUCGAACGGCAGCACAGUAAGAGCUUGCUCUUACGGGUGGCGAGUGGCGGACGGGUGAGGAAUACAUCGGAAUCUACUUUUUCGUGGGGGAUAACGUAGGGAAACUUACGCUAAUACCGCAUACGACCUACGGGUGAAAGCAGGGGAUCUUCGGACCUUGCGCGAUUAAAUGAGCCGAUGUCGGAUUAGCUAGUUGGCGGGGUAAAGGCCCACCAAGGCGACGAUCCGUAGCUGGUCUGAGAGGAUGAUCAGCCACACUGGAACUGAGACACGGUCCAGACUCCUACGGGAGGUAGCAGUGGGGAAUAUUGGACAAUGGGCGCAAGCCUGAUCCAGCCAUACCGCGUGGGUGAAGAAGGCCUUCGGGUUGUAAAGCCCUUUUGUUGGGAAAGAAAAGCAGCAGGUUAAUACCCCGCUGUUCUGACGGUACCCAAAGAAUAAGCACCGGCUAACUUCGUG
This 492-nucleotide ribosomal RNA is filed under the name uncultured bacterium. RNAcentral describes it as "partial 16S ribosomal RNA". It matches the Rfam family "Bacterial small subunit ribosomal RNA", at positions 29 to 507 of the family's 1533-position model. The record is from RNAcentral.